GAGGUACAGCUCAGUGACAAAGCUCUUGCCUGGCAUGCACAAGGCCCUGGUUCAAUCCCAGGGACUGCA
RNAcentral lists this transfer RNA (69 nucleotides) under Mus musculus (house mouse). Its description in RNAcentral is "tRNA-Ala". Lineage: Eukaryota; Metazoa; Chordata; Mammalia; Rodentia; Muridae. The record is from RNAcentral.